AUAGGUGGCAAGCGUUGUCCGGAAUUAUUGGGCGUAAAGCGCGCGCAGGCGGGGUCCUUUAAGUCUGAUGUGAAAGCCCACGGGCUCAACCGUGGAGGGUCAUUGGAAACUGGGGGACUUGAGUACGGAAGAGGAAAGCGGAAUUCCACGUGUAGCGGUGAAAUGCGUAGAGAUGUGGAGGAACACCAGUGGCGAAGGCGGCUUUCUGGUCUGUAACUGACGCUGAGGCGCGAAAGCGUGGGGAGCAAACAGGAUUAGAUACCCUGGUAGUCCACGCCGUAAACGAUGAGUGCUAAGUGUUAGGGGGUUUCCGCCCCUUAGUGCUGCAGCUAACGCAUUAAGCACUCCGCCUGGGGAGUACGGCCGCAAAGGCUG
RNAcentral lists this ribosomal RNA (375 nucleotides) under uncultured organism. RNAcentral describes it as "partial 16S ribosomal RNA". It matches the Rfam family "Bacterial small subunit ribosomal RNA", at positions 527 to 896 of the family's 1533-position model. The record is from RNAcentral.